Tachysurus fulvidraco (yellow catfish) is the source of this 473-nucleotide non-coding RNA. Lineage: Eukaryota; Metazoa; Chordata; Actinopteri; Siluriformes; Bagridae. The record is from the annotation of a RefSeq genome assembly.
AUGGGACUAGGCAGAGUUUUGUGUUACUUUACUCUAACAAUCUUCAUUCAAUAUUCCUGCAGUCAGACACUGAUCGAGUCUGAUCCAGUGAUCAUCAAACCUGAUCAUUCUCAUAAACUGAUCUGCACAGCAUCUGGAUUUAACUUUGGUGGCUCUUGGAUGGCUUGGAUCAGACAGGCGCCUGGAAAAGGGCUGGCAUUUGUUGCAACUAUUGAGGGUGAUAGUGAUAGGAAGUUUUACUCCAGCGCUGUUCAGGGCCGCUUCACCAUCUCCAGAGACAACAAUAAGAUGCAGGUGUAUCUGCAGAUGAACAGCAUGAGGACAGAAGACACUGCAGUUUAUUACUGCGCCCGUCACACACAGUGAUACUUCCCCUUAGACAUCAGUACAAAAACACAGACUUGCUAUAGACACAUGACAAACCCACAUUUUCAGAUUCAUGGAGGUGAAAGAACCAAAAUGUUUACAGUGUC